GAACGCUGGCGGCGUGGAUUAGGCAUGCAAGUCGAACGGUAUCAUCUUCGGGGGUGAGAGAGUGGCGAACUGGUGAGUAACACGUAGGUUAUCUACCCUCAAGACGGGGACAACCCAGGGAAACUUGGGCUAAUACCGGAUGUGAGCAACUUUUAGUUGUUUGAAAGGUGGCGUAAGCUGUCGCUUGGGGAUGAGCCUGCGUCCUAUUAGUUAGUUGGUGAGGUAACGGCUCACCUAGGCAAUGAUAGGUAGGCGGCCUUAACGGGUGGUCGCCCACACUGGGAUUGAGAUACGGCCCAGACUCCUACGGGAGGCAGCAGUCGAGAAUAGUCUACAAUGGUCGGAAGACUGAUAGUGCGACGCCGCGUGAACGAUGAAUCCCUUCGGGGUGUAAAGUUCUUUUAUAUGUGAGCAGUGCUUCUUAUAUUAACAGUAUGGGGAGAGAGAUAUUAGCAUAUGAAUAAGCAACGGCUAACUCCGUG
This 482-nucleotide ribosomal RNA is filed under the name uncultured bacterium. RNAcentral describes it as "bacterial SSU rRNA". It matches the Rfam family "Bacterial small subunit ribosomal RNA", at positions 31 to 507 of the family's 1533-position model. The record is from RNAcentral.